GCCUUCGUGGUCUAGUUGGUUAUGACGUCGGUCUCAUAUCCCUUCCAUAUUUAAAAUAUGACGAUCUUGGUAACAAGAUUGCUAUCCGAAGGUCUCCAGUUCGAACCUGGACGAGGGCA
Penicillium vulpinum is the source of this 119-nucleotide transfer RNA. It matches the Rfam family "tRNA". From Rfam's summary of the family: Transfer RNA (tRNA) molecules are approximately 80 nucleotides in length. Their secondary structure includes four short double-helical elements and three loops (D, anti-codon, and T loops). Further hydrogen bonds mediate the characteristic L-shaped molecular structure. tRNAs have two regions of fundamental functional importance: the anti-codon, which is responsible for specific mRNA codon recognition, and the 3' end, to which the tRNAs corresponding amino acid is attached (by aminoacyl-tRNA synthetases). tRNAs cope with the degeneracy of the genetic code in two manners: having more than one tRNA (with a specific anti-codon) for a particular amino acid; and 'wobble' base-pairing, i.e. permitting non-standard base-pairing at the 3rd anti-codon position. The record is from Rfam. NCBI's taxonomy places the organism in Eukaryota, Fungi, Ascomycota, Eurotiomycetes, Eurotiales, Aspergillaceae.